CCCACCUCUGCCACUGCGUCCUGCAGGCACCUUCUACGCGACGGUUCGUCUUGUAUCGUCCGUGGGUGGCGCGCAGCGGCGCAGGCCUGCCAGCGAGGAGAGCACGAAGAGGCGUGAGAUGCCUCACCGAGCGCCGCCGAUGGAUGGGGUUGCUGUUAUUCGUUGCCUCAUUGGCGUCAGCCAGGUUUUGUGGGAGGCGGAUCCAAACCUCAUAGGAAGGCUCGAGCAGAGGUGAAGAACUGAAGAUGAUGGUUCUGUUAACCAUUAGCUAGUCCAUGAUUAUGGUGCAGAGGUGUGAAGGGCUAGAGCAAUUCGGAAAAGUUGUUGACCUCAUAUGUAGGAUGACCGAAGACAGUCCAUAAUUUAGAUGCUUUCUUAUGAGAUGUCAUGAGAGUAGCAAAUUUUGCAUUUCA
This is a long non-coding RNA of Setaria italica (foxtail millet), 413 nucleotides long. RefSeq lists it as uncharacterized. Lineage: Eukaryota; Viridiplantae; Streptophyta; Magnoliopsida; Poales; Poaceae. The record is from RefSeq and is a predicted model, not a curated record. The transcript has 2 exons.